This is a long non-coding RNA of Branchiostoma floridae (Florida lancelet), 1495 nucleotides long. RefSeq lists it as uncharacterized. NCBI's taxonomy places the organism in Eukaryota, Metazoa, Chordata, Leptocardii, Amphioxiformes, Branchiostomatidae. The record is from RefSeq and is a predicted model, not a curated record. The transcript has 3 exons.
CACGGAAGUGAAGUGUCCUGUUUGUCUGUUUGUCCAUUUUCGUCCGCACAAAAAGUCGACCAAAUUUCGCCAAGUCUCCUUGAGACACUUCCUCCAAUACUUCUCUGCCAGCUCUGCACGCCUUCGAAGCUCUGCUGUGAAGCAAACGGCUUUCUCGGGCGCGAAAGAACCACACGAAGACGGGACAGCUCCGAUAUUCUCCAGCCCUGUUUUCCGAGAAAUCAUUGCAACAUGCAGAUUCACAAGAACGGUGCGGAUGCCAGUGUGAACAACCAACAGCACGACAUGGACGGUCGCGAGCCCGCGGCUAUCCGGCGCUACCAGAACCGCCAACCUGUCCAGCAGGAUCCAACCAGCAAGGAUGCAAACACUCCGGUGCAGAUACGCAAUGGCAGCAGUGGAAAAGAAGAGCCAAAAGAAGACAACGGUGCUUGGGGACCAAUUUUCAAGAAUCGGGACCACUUUGUGGAAAUGCACAUCUGCUAGUUCCACCCAGAUAACGUUGAACACCGGGGCCAACUGUGUGCUUAGCCUGGUCAGCAUCUUUUGAGAGUCCAAAUCAAAUUCUUCUUAACAGAAUACAUGUAGAUCGGCUCAGUGUAGUUUCAAACAAACCUGCUUUCUUCAAGUGGUCAACUCUAUUUCAGACAUUUUUGUUUUCUUCAACAAUGUAAUCUGGGGGUUAUAUUACUAGCCCAUUGUUUUGUUCUGGAUUUACACCUUUAGUUACAAAGAAAGUAAUGAGCAAAACUGGACUUUUUAUAGAGAAGGGUUUGUGACAGAUGUGAUGAUUGGACAGGAGCUUGAUGAUGAUUGGUCAUUGCAGCUGAGCAUGUGAUUGGUCCUGGUGGGUCAUGUGGUGUUAUGGGUAAACAGGAAGUUUAAUUUGGUCAAAAUAUUGUAAUAAGAUUAGAACUUUUACAGUUGUCAUAAUUAGGGUAGUUGUUUGUGAUCUUUAUGGUACUCAUAGUAGUCAAGCCUCCCUUUUAAAGUGGAAUUGUCUACAUUUUUAACACCUUACCAUUUUCUUAAACUUUCACCUGAAUUGAUGAGUAGAUUUUCCAAUCUCACCUUUAAGAAGGUUUCAGUCUCCCCUUUAAAAUACUUUUCAAUACAAUACUCAUUUUUGAAUACCAGUACAUUUUCAGCCAGGUACCAAUGGCUCAACUGCACAUCUUUAGCAUAACUGUCUGCAGUGCACAUAGAAGCACCAACAGUGCAAUGGAAGGAUGGAAAUAUUAAAAGUGCAUUGAAUUUCUUGAUUUCUUUGUAAGGAGUUGGUCACUUUUAAGGACAUUGUGCUACAAAUGUAUACUCUUAUUGAAUAUAGUUUGUCACACUCAUGCUGAGUGUUAGUUCCUACAAGUUUUCAUCUUAGGUAUAUGGUUUUCUUAAAGCUAGUACCCAAGAAAACUUGUAAGAAACAAUCUUGUCCUUCACAGAGAGCCAAGUUUUAAUCAGAUUCAUGUAAUGUAAUAAAGUACAUAAUGUCAAA